Molecule: long non-coding RNA, 2924 nt
Filed under: Olea europaea (common olive)
Lineage: Eukaryota; Viridiplantae; Streptophyta; Magnoliopsida; Lamiales; Oleaceae
Description: long non-coding RNA (OEUR_LNC000022)
Source: RNAcentral
AUACUUCUUUCCACGAGAAAAGAAACAGCAAUAAACUUAAGCUAUAUCCAUGCUUGACGCUAUUAAGAAGAACCCAUAUGAUUUUGGGAAAAUUCUGAACCCAUUUGAGGAAUUGACAGCAAAUGGGGUGCGUGGUGGAGAAAUUCGGAGAUUCUGAGGUAUGGAAAGCGGCUUCUUUGGUUGUUCUAGUUUUGAAGCAGCUAUUUUUUAGACUUUCCAGCCCGACUUUACAGAUGUUCUUUGUCCAUUUUUUUCACAUGGUAGAAGAAACUAGGAUCUUUUUAGUUUUUUUCUUGUCUUUUCAUUAUUCUUUGUUACGGUAGAAGUCGACGAAGUUGAUAGAAUUGGAUCUUAUUCUCGUCAAGAAAUUUUUUCAAAAAUAGUAAUAUUGUAAUAAAUAAGAUGAAAAACAUUAAAGGUGCGUUUGAUAGAACAUAAUUCCAUGAAAAAUAUCACAUCCGAUAAAUUCGUUUUCUACUUUUGACUGUUUGAUACGAAAGUGAAGUUGGAAUUCGAAUUCCAAGGUACAAAUACUUAAAGAAUGUUUUUGACCAAUUUCAUGGAAAUCGAAUUCUUAUGAUUUUGAUAAAUUUUUUUUUUUAAACUUGCAUGAGAUUGAAUUUCUUUUUACACCUUUACAAUCAAAUAGACCUUAACUUCUUAAAUUCUCUUUUAUUUAAAUUAUGUUGCUCAUAGUUGAGAGUUGGAAACUCCCAAUCUCCCGAGCAAGGCUCAAGAGGAGCUUUGCAGACCGUCGAGGGAAUAAUGGCAGUAGUAGGAGAAGAAGAAUAUUUAAAGGAUAUCAUGUAAGAGAAGCUCAAAAUAAAAUUAACCUUUCGAUUUCAAUUUCCAUCUCUAGCUUUAUCCUUCUUAAAAAAACGCUUGUUGGACAAGACUUUUAAAAAGUCAACCCGCUUUUAUUUCUUUGUUCUAAAAGUACUUUGUUAAGCUAAAAGCUCUUUUACAAAAAAUACAAGUAGAAUCAACCAAGAAAAGUUCCGUGUGUGCAUCAUCAGUGAUAAUUUCAUAUUAAGAUAAUCAGAAAUUUAGGCAUCACUAUGAACCCACAGAAACUUCAAUAAGGUGUGAGAUGGGAAAAAAUAAAUAAAUAAAUAAUAAUAAUCAUCUUUCGAUUUCCCUCUCCAAUUUGAUCCUAAUUAAAAAAAAAGCUCGUUUGACAAGAUUUUUGAAAAGUCAAGCUAUGUUUGAACUUGCGAAGGUACUUUCAUCAAGUUAGAACAAUUUUUGAAAGAAGCUGAUCAAAUGUAAUUGCUUUUGAGAGCUCUUCUAAGAAAAAGGGAAGCAAAACCAACCAAAAAAAAGUUAUGUUGCGAGCACGCUUGUGAUCAUCGAUAAUUUCACAAUAAUAAAAUCAGAAAUUUAGGCUUCACUAUGAACCCACAGAAAAAUCAUUAAGGCUAAAUUCAAAUUUGGCAAAGCAGAGCAAAGGGAUUAAAAACCCCAGAUUCCAAAACGGGGUUCAGGAAUUGUUGCCCGUGGGAAUAUUUUUCACCCCAAAACAAGGAAAUAAAGGAAAAAAAGAAUCUCAAUUUUCAUGCCCUGCAACCAUUUCUAUCCCCAAAUCUACACUAGAUUUGCUCUCUUCAAGAACUUGAUCAUUCUGCAGUAAAAUGGCCAUAUGGAUUCCACAUAGUCCUGAUAUUUCUCCACCAACCCAAUUUCCAAAUCUUUUGCCUUACGCUUCAUUACCUCUUUGUAGUCCAUGUUUCUCACGUGUUGCCAUAUAAGUGAACGUAUGCCUUCUUUAAACUUCCCACGCACAAUAUAAUUAUGCAGCAAAAGGUAGUAGAAGGGCAGGUUCUUAACUACUUUAACUGCCUGCUUGAAGCUGAAUGAAUAGAGCCCACAAAUGAGCUGUACCAUCUUAAUGUAGAGAGCAACAAUUAAUGGUCCAAGAACCCAUAAAGGGGUUAAUUCUCUGGAAACUACAGAUCCAUAUACUAAAUUAACUGCCAGGUAUAAAGGGAAGCUGCAAAUACAACAAAAAGCGAGACAAUUAGUCAACAGCAAUAUUCAUUCUGUUAUGGAUCUGCACCUGUCUGAAUAUCUUAUUUAAGCUAAACAAAUACUAAAUGAUGAAGAAUAUAUGUUGUACUCGUGCUUUGACAGUUCAGAAGCAAUAAUGAGAAAAUUUGGAAGAAACUACCAAAGAUUGCAUUAUAACUGUACUCAUGCAUAUAACAAUUUAAAUUACGCAACAUCUUAUAUCAGCUAGAGUUUUAAAGCUACAUUCUUUGGAUUCAUUAAACUAUUUCCCUUGUUAAAUUACCAGCAAUACAUGUUAGAACACAGAAAUUUAAUCAACUCAGUCUAGAGUAAAAUAGCUCCAAAUAUCCAUUGAAACACACACACACACACACACACACACACACACACACAAAAUAAAUACAUAAUUUCUACACAUUGGCAUACAGUACAAAUCAGUGCUCAAUCGAAACUGAUAUUUUUACCUUUUCUCAUACAAAAUUCUGUAUCUCCUUAGUUUUGGAAACAGAGAAAUUGAUCACAAGCAAGCAGGCAUGUAAAAUAUACAGGCUUACACACACAGAAAGAGAUUGGAGACGGAGAAAGGAUGUACCAUCAGACUUACAAUAUCAAUAAAGGUAUCUUUAUUGUUGCGUCCAGACCUAAAAAUCUUCUUUCCACGAGAAAAGAAACAGCAAUAAACUUAAGCUAUAUCCAUGCUUGACGCUAUUAAGAAGAACCCAUAUGAUUUUGGGAAAAUUCUGAACCCAUUUGAGGAAUUGACAGCAAAUGGGGUGCGUGGUGGAGAAAUUCGGAGAUUCUGAGGUAUGGAAAGCGGCUUCUUUGGUUGUUCUAGUUUUGAAGCAGCUAUUUUUUAGACUUUCCAGCCCGACUUUACAGAUGUUCUUUGUCCAUUUUUUUCACAUGGUAGAAGAAAC